UACAGAGGGUGCAAACGUUGCUCGGAAUUAUUGGGCGUAAAGCGCAUGUAGGCGGCACGGUAAGUUCACUGUGAAAGCCCUUGGCUCAACCAAGGAAGUGCAGUGGAAACUGCCGAGCUCGAGUUCUGAAGAGGGUCGCGGAAUGGCCAGUGUAGAGGUGAAAUUCGUAGAUAUUGGCUAGAACACCAGUGGCGAAGGCGGCGACCUGGGAAGAUACUGACGCUGAGAUGCGAAAGCGUGGGGAGCAAACAGG
Molecule: ribosomal RNA, 253 nt
Filed under: uncultured bacterium
Lineage: Bacteria
Description: partial 16S ribosomal RNA
Rfam family: Bacterial small subunit ribosomal RNA
Source: RNAcentral